UUAUUUAUAAUUGUCACGGGUUUUAUUUUGUGUUUCGUUCGACGACACAGAUAAAUUGUAUUUAGUGUGCGAAAUAAGUUUUCAGGUUUACAGUGAUAACUGAUAAAAUAAACUUUUAGUCAUUUUAAAAGAAAUACAAUGGAAUGAAUAAAGCCGUCAAACAAUAUUCAUAUUACAAUUUCUCAGUGGUAAAAUUCAUUUUUAUCCUUUUUGGAUUAUCUAUGAACAAAACAGGGGACCUCGUUUGUAUGCAGUGAGUGUUGAUAGACAUUCAUCUAGUUUCUUAUUUUAUUUCAGGAAUCUCAAAUAAUGCCGUAGAAAUGGUGUAAUAUUUCUCAAUACUUAAAAGGGGCUUAAAGAUUAAAGUUAGUUCGAUCUCAGGAAUCCAAUGAGGAUCGAAAAACGAGACUUGCUAUGUUUAGAAAAUAAUAAGCUUUAAGUCAUACUUUGGAAACCCUUACCGAAAGAGAAGCUCGACAAAAUAGAGAUUGAGAUUGCCAUGUUAUUUCACGCUCCGUGGAAACGGCCACGAGCCAGAAAUAUCCGAUUGAUCGCUGAUCGUGAGCGGCAAACGCGGGUGUUUAUACCAAGAAUCCCUCUCAUCCUAAACAAUUUUCCAUUUCAUUUCAAACGAGUUCUAUUCCCACUAAGUCUUUGUUAUGCAAUGACUAUCAACAAAGCACAGGGGCAGACUACGCGUUUCAGGGGAGGACCUUGGUGUAAGUUGCUUCUCACACGGUCAACUAUAUGUUGCUCUCUCACGAGUGAGUGAAGCAAAUGUAUAAAAUAUUUGUAUACAUCCCAACAAACCAAUUGUCCAACGUUGUAUAUAAAGAGGCAUUGUAAAUACUUAUUAAACAACUGUUUUUUGUAUAUAUAUAUAGGAAAAUUUGUAAGUGUAAUUUUUUAUAUUAGUUUAUAUUAAACAUUGAUUUUAUUUAACCUUAGUAAUACAGAAUUUAAAAAAAUAAA
Diorhabda sublineata is the source of this 972-nucleotide long non-coding RNA. RefSeq lists it as uncharacterized. NCBI's taxonomy places the organism in Eukaryota, Metazoa, Arthropoda, Insecta, Coleoptera, Chrysomelidae. The transcript has 2 exons. The record is from RefSeq and is a predicted model, not a curated record.